Arachis ipaensis is the source of this 110-nucleotide non-coding RNA. NCBI's taxonomy places the organism in Eukaryota, Viridiplantae, Streptophyta, Magnoliopsida, Fabales, Fabaceae. The record is from RefSeq and is a predicted model, not a curated record.
AAAUACCCAUACAGGAUCCCGGUUGGACCCAGUAACGGAUGUUUCUUUGUCCUAAAACUGUCAUGCUUAUUGCUUUGUACUAGUACUUCUAUCAGUCUAAGUUAUGGAUA